AGUGAACGCUGGCGGUAGGCCUAACACAUGCAAGUCGAACGGCAGCACAGUAAGAGCUUGCUCUUACGGGUGGCGAGUGGCGGACGGGUGAGGAAUACGUCGGAAUCUACUUUUUCGUGGGGGAUAACGUAGGGAAACUUACGCUAAUACCGCAUACGACCUACGGGUGAAAGCAGGGGAUCUUCGGACCUUGCGCGAUUGAUUGAGCCGAUGUCGGAUUAGCUAGUUGGCGGGGUAAAGGCCCACCAAGGCGACGAUCCGUAGCUGGUCUGAGAGGAUGAUCAGCCACACUGGAACUGAGACACGGUCCAGACUCCUACGGGAGGCAGCAGUGGGGAAUAUUGGACAAUGGGCGCAAGCCUGAUCCAGCCAUACCGCGUGGGUGAAGAAGGCCUUCGGGUUGUAAAGCCCUUUUGUUGGGAAAGAAAAGCAGCAGGUUAAUACCCCGCUGUUCUGACGGUACCCAAAGAAUAAGCACCGGCUAACUUCGUG
RNAcentral lists this ribosomal RNA (492 nucleotides) under uncultured bacterium. RNAcentral's name for it is "partial 16S ribosomal RNA". It matches the Rfam family "Bacterial small subunit ribosomal RNA", at positions 29 to 507 of the family's 1533-position model. The record is from RNAcentral.